Gallus gallus (chicken) is the source of this 3356-nucleotide long non-coding RNA. NCBI's taxonomy places the organism in Eukaryota, Metazoa, Chordata, Aves, Galliformes, Phasianidae. The record is from Ensembl.
GUGUCAUUAGCUUGUUUCCGGUGCACAAUUCAUAUAAACGGUUUACUGAGGUUAGUUUAGUUCCUGCUUUUAGAUAGUAACUAUUUGUUAGCCCAACGACCUUUGUCCGGUAGAGCAGCAGUCCCAGACAGGAUCUGGUAACUGAUCAGAGUUUUGCUGUGUUCCUCUUGACUUCCACUUCUGUGCCCCGCUGGCCAUAUUUUCUUCAUCUCCAAAGAUGGUCUCUUCCUAGUAUGUCCCUCCAGUUAGCAGCUCUGAAAACUGGCCCAAUGCACUGCUUUCUCCUGAGCAACUCCAAUCAUCUAAAUGACUUCAGCAACUAAGUGGUUCUGUUCUACGUCAUCAGCUGGGACUGCUGGGACUGCUCUUCAUUUCAAACAGCAACACUCCUUCCAUGUCUGAGAGCUCAAGUUGAAGGCUGAACAGUGAUUUCUGCACUGCUCAUUUUCUUUCAGAAAGCGUGUACUGCUUCCUGUGUUUCUAUUUCUGUUUCCAAACCACCAAGAAAGGGAAAAAAAGCAGCGGAACAGAGACUCAAACACACGUGAAGUACCAAGCUGGACAACUCAGCAUGAUACUAGAAAUACCUAGAUGUGAGGUUUGGCAUUUAUGGGAUAUUAACAUUAAGUGCUUCAGAAGAUAAACAAGAGAAUUAAACAACAGAUAGCACAGCCAGCUAUGUACAUCAGGGCCACCUCUUAGGAACCGAUCCCUUCAAGAUAUUUGUGCCUAUAGAAGGAAAUGCAAAUGAAGGUGGGUGGGGAUACGUGUAUCGGGUUAAGCUCUUAUAUCAAUAUACAAGAGCUCCACGCCCUUAUCUCUUUAGAUAACUACAACAUAUUUUUGUUCUACCAACAACAGGAACAAUCAGUCAACCACUAAGUCUGGGCUAGAGCGCUAGUAGCUGGGGUGACCCUGGCUAUUUGUUUGUUGACAGAUUACUGAGCUGUUUAGAAAAGGAGUGAUACUGCUGACAUUUGGUUCACCUCUGCAGGUGACACCUCCAGCCCUCUAUGCAUUACAGUUUCCUGUACAGCUGGAAAAAACCCAACCCCCCAAAAAACCGUUUACGAGUAAAAAAAUCAGGGAGGAAAAGGGAACUUUUUGCUGCCCACAGCAUAUGCAUAACAGCAACAGGGGCAGUCUGUGCAUGAGAAAUAGAUUGUUCAGUGGUUUGUCUUCCACUUUAUGUGGAAUAUCCUGAGCACUGCUUCCAAUAUUCAUCUAUUUAAAGAGGAUUCAAUACUUAUAAAAUAGAUGCUUUGCUGAAGACAUUGUGCUGCAUUUGCCACCAGGGUGUGGAAAUAACAGAUGUUUUCAGGUUUAACCCUGGGCAAUGCCUUCAUGAAGGCUGCAAGAGGGCAGAACUCCUGUUUCUGCUUUCAGAAAAUGGUGGUGCUAACAUGCAAGGAAAAGGAGAGCACCAGUACAAAUACUGCCCUCUAUUCUAUAGCUACUCAUGUAACUACAACAGCCUGUGAGAUGCACUUCCCCUGUUGAAACUCAGCAGAGACUAUUCAGGUAGUAAUGGUGACCUCUGUUUAUCAUCCACCCUUCCCAGCUCUCUGAAGCCUAUGGAUUCCUGCAGUAGGUUGCACGUAUAUUCACUAACUCUGGUUCUAAAUGUAGUGGUUUCUGUUGUUUCUUUUUUUUUCUUCUUCCCUUUUCAGGCCCCUGAAAAUGUGACAGGCCAGCUCAUUAGCAUAACAGUAAGGUGUCCCAGCAUGUCUGAUGCAAAAGUUUUCAGACAUUGCUGGCAGGAAGAUGCUAGCAUACAGAUAACAAAGCUACUAAUGUUCUCUUCCACUUCAGCUUGGCCAGUAAAGGCUUUGGAUCUCGUUAGGAAUUCCUCUUCUUAUUUAUUUAUUUUUCUGGUUUCUGUGGUAUGAAGUAUGCAUCCCUCGGGAUUCUUCUUCAGAAACAUGUCAGCUUGAGGUUUCUUUUUAUUUCCAGCAAACAAGAAGAUAAUUGAAACCCUUCCUGAGUUACAGCUAUGUUUCCUGCUGGAGAGACUGACAGAUCCAGCAAAGAACAGAGGACACUGAAAAUGUGAACGAACAUGUUGCUGAGUUUGCCACGUUAUUCCCUUCAUAUUUUUUACAUAUACAACAUUUUCCUGGUUGGGACUACAGGUACAAAAUCUUAAAAGGCAAAUCACAAGAGAUACUUGAAAACCAGAAAAGAGCAGAAAUAUUUUUAUGUAUCUGUAGUUAAUGAACAUGCCAAACCCAUCGCUCUACCAAACAGCAUGCCAGCCUGGCUGCUGAGGGACAUGAGAAAUGCAGAUCCCACGGUCAUUCACCACCUGGUUUCUCUGCCAAGAGUUUCUAUGGCCACCUGUCAGUUGUGGAGGGGAUCUUGUCUGUUCUAGAAACAGCUGCCCAGGAUGCACAGUGCUGAGAUCCUUUACAGUAGAACAUUCAUCUUCUACUAUAUCUGCAAUAAGCCUUAUCCCAUGGAUGACUUUGGUAUAACAUGAAGCCCACCUGCAACACACAGUAACUACUGAAAGCUAGUAUAGUUGUAGGGCAUAAUGCAGUUUUUGCCUGACACAAUGGGAGUAAACAGACACUCAGGGUUGGUGCUGACAGCAACUAGAGAUAGCUGGAGAAUUUUUCUUCCUUCACUGGAAAUGGAAAUGUAUCAAUUUCUCCCAGAAAAAAAAAAUCAGCUGAAAUAAAAAUUUUAUCAGAGGAAAGUUUCCAUUGUAUGGCCUUGCAUGUUUGAAUGCAUCUCUUGCAUGAUCUGACAUCUAAAUUUCUCAAAGGAUUUGAUGUGGGAACCUCAGAUACAAUCUUGGGUUUUAUCAAGCCUGAAAAACCUACAUUGGACAUUUCAGAUUAGAGUUAUCUAUCAAAUUCAUAACCAGGAUAUUCUAACUACAAGUAAACUACAGAUUUCCCAAAGAUUACAAGAGACAAGGAAAAAAAAUCACACUGUAUUUUUACAUGAUGGUAGAAGUGCACUGAAGUACUGUUUCCCACUUUCAUAUUGAAAAGGAAAGGUCAUUUUAGCAUCAAAUUACUUCUGUCUUACACUUGAGUUACAUUUAAAUAUACAUUUCAUAAAUGAAGUAUCAUUGCUCAAGUCUUUAAGCUGUAUUGAGUUCACGGCACAAAAAGCCCAGACCUUAUGGUGUCUGUUUUAUCAUACAGAAGUCUACAUAAAAGAAAAUUAGGAAAAAAAAAGAACGUUGUGAAAUUACUCGAAUUAUUACUUUUUUAAUAAUAAAGUUUGCUCUCUAAUAUGAACCAGGAAGUGAAGAGUUGUAGCUCUCACAGUCUCAGACUAAACAUCGGGUCGUGGUUCUUUUUGGCUUCUGUUUAAAAAGGCUAAUUGAUUUGGAAGAGAAAGAC